This 493-nucleotide long non-coding RNA is filed under the name Pan troglodytes (chimpanzee). Its description in RNAcentral is "lincRNA". The record is from RNAcentral. Lineage: Eukaryota; Metazoa; Chordata; Mammalia; Primates; Hominidae.
CUGUAGAAGGCAAGCAUACGGAACUCCGUCUGGUAUUUCUUCCUGGAAACAAACCUACUCUCAGAAAACCCAUUGAAGUCCCUGUUUUACAACUAACAUAAUGGGCGUGUGGAAAUGCCUCUCCAUCCACCAGGGGGCAGAAACGAACCCUUUGAUUGGCCAGAGAUCUUUGGACUUCAACUUUGAUUUGGAAUAGUUGUAAUUUGCAUAGCCUUUUCACUCUCAGACAUCACUCUUUCUGUCACUAGGAACAUAACCAUAUAGACUUUUCAAAGAAACCUCUUAAUUCUGUGUGAAACUCUAAACUUCACUCUACCAAUAAACUUCCCCACAUUCACACUAGAGAGAUGUGAUGGGAAUGCUGGGUCUUACAUAUGGUGGUCUUCAUAUUUUCGUGGAUUUGUCUUUUGAGGCAUGGAGUGCCUGACCUUUGCGUAUGCAAGAUUCGCUAGCAUGUAAACUCUGUCACUGUCUCCCAAGAACACAGAAACAG